UCACUCCGGUCAGCGUCCAGCAGG
This 24-nucleotide unclassified non-coding RNA is filed under the name Mus musculus (house mouse). RNAcentral describes it as "oocyte_clustered_small_RNA8624". Lineage: Eukaryota; Metazoa; Chordata; Mammalia; Rodentia; Muridae. The record is from RNAcentral.